This 413-nucleotide ribosomal RNA is filed under the name uncultured bacterium. RNAcentral's name for it is "bacterial SSU rRNA". It matches the Rfam family "Bacterial small subunit ribosomal RNA", at positions 505 to 916 of the family's 1533-position model. The record is from RNAcentral.
GUGCCAGCAGCCGCGGUAAUACGGAGGGUGCGAGCGUUAAUCGGAAUUACUGGGCGUAAAGGGCGCGUAGGCGGUCGCGCAAGUCGGGUGUGAAAGCCCCGGGCUCAACCUGGGAAUUGCAUUCGAUACUGCGUAACUAGAGUCUGGUAGAGGGAAGCGGAAUUCCGCAUGUAGCGGUGAAAUGCGUAGAUAUGCGGAGGAACACCAGUGGCGAAGGCGGCUUCCUGGACCAAGACUGACGCUGAGGCGCGAAAGCGUGGGGAGCAAACAGGAUUAGAUACCCUGGUAGUCCACGCCCUAAACGAUGAGGACUAGACGUUGGGGGGAUAAAACCCUUUAGUGUCGCAGCUAACGCGUGAAGUCCUCCGCCUGGGGAGUACGGCCGCAAGGUUGAAACUCAAAUGAAUUGACGG